GGAGGAAAAGAAACUAACUAGGAUUCCCCCAGUAACUGCGAGUGAAGAGGGAAGAGCUCAUCAUUGGAAUCUGGCAGUGUUGCACUGUCCGAGUUGUAGAUGAGGAGUAGUCCAUCUGGACUGCAUGGCGUCCAAGUACAAUAGGCCGUCAGUGGGACAUCAUAGAGGGUGACAAUCCCGUCCUUGAUGCCAAUGUGCAAGUCCGUUACGAUGGCUAUCUCAGAGAGUCGAGCAGUUUGGGAUUUGCUGCUUAAACAUGGGAGGUAGAUUCCUUCUAAAGCUAAAUACAGGCGAGAGACCGAUAGAGAACAAGUACCGCAAGGGAAAGAUGAAAUAGCACUCUGUGAAGGGAGUCAAAAGGCGUGAAAUUGUUGCGAGAGAAGCGAUUCAAGUCAGCGUAGCUAGGCCCAUCAAGCGUCUCGCUUUGGACUAGCUUUGCCAGCGGUCUUGUCCUUUAGAGAGAGACUUGACU
RNAcentral lists this ribosomal RNA (472 nucleotides) under Cantharellus amethysteus. RNAcentral describes it as "eukaryotic LSU rRNA". It matches the Rfam family "Eukaryotic large subunit ribosomal RNA", at positions 52 to 514 of the family's 3401-position model. Lineage: Eukaryota; Fungi; Basidiomycota; Agaricomycetes; Cantharellales; Hydnaceae. The record is from RNAcentral.